UACAGAGGGGGCAAGCGCUGUUCGGAAUUACUGGGCGUAAAGGGCGCGUAGGCGGCCAACUAAGUCAGACGUGAAAUCCCCCGGCUCAACCGGGGAACUGCGUCUGAUACUGGAUGGCUUGAGUUCGGGAGAGGGAAGUGGAAUUCCAGGUGUAGCGGUGAAAUGCGUAGAUAUCUGGAGGAACACCGGUGGCGAAGGCGGCUUCCUGGACCGACACUGACGCUGAGGCGCGAAAGCCAGGGGAGCAAACGGG
RNAcentral lists this ribosomal RNA (253 nucleotides) under uncultured bacterium. Its description in RNAcentral is "partial 16S ribosomal RNA". It matches the Rfam family "Bacterial small subunit ribosomal RNA", at positions 524 to 776 of the family's 1533-position model. The record is from RNAcentral.